AUUGAACGCUGGCGGCAUGCUUUACACAUGCAAGUCGAACGGCAGCACGGGGGCAACCCUGGUGGCGAGUGGCGAACGGGUGAGUAAUACAUCGGAACGUGCCCAAUGGUGGGGGAUAACCUGGCGAAAGCCAGGCUAAUACCGCAUGCGCUCGAAAGAGCAAAGCGGGGGACCGCAAGGCCUCGCGCCAAUGGAGCGGCCGAUGUCCGAUUAGCUAGUUGGGAGGUAAAGGCUCACCAAGGCGACGAUCGGUAGCUGGUCUGAGAGGAUGAUCAGCCACACUGGGACUGAGACACGGCCCAGACUCCUACGGGAGGCAGCAGUGGGGAAUUUUGGACAAUGGGGCAACCCUGAUCCAGCAAUGCCGCGUGAGUGAAGAAGGCC
Molecule: ribosomal RNA, 384 nt
Filed under: uncultured bacterium
Lineage: Bacteria
Description: bacterial SSU rRNA
Rfam family: Bacterial small subunit ribosomal RNA
Source: RNAcentral